UGGGGAAUCUUGGACAAUGGGCGCAAGCCUGAUCCAGCCAUGCCGCGUGGAUGAUGAAGGCCUUAGGGUUGUAAAAUCCUUUCGCCGAGGACGAUAAUGACGGUACUCGGAGAAGAAGCUCCGGCUAACUUCGUGCCAGCAGCCGCGGUAAUACGAAGGGGGCUAGCGUUGUUCGGAAUCACUGGGCGUAAAGCGCACGUAGGCGGAUUUGUUAGUCAGGGGUGAAAUCCCGGGGCUCAACCUCGGAACUGCCUCUGAUACUGCAAAUCUCGAGUCCGAUAGAGGUGAGUGGAAUUCCUAGUGUAGAGGUGAAAUUCGUAGAUAUUAGGAAGAACACCAGUGGCGAAGGCGGCUCACUGGAUCGGUACUGACGCUGAGGUGCGAAAGCGUGGGGAGCAAACAGGAUUAGAUACCCUUGUAGUCCCUGAGCGGGCUGGCAAGGCGCAU
Molecule: ribosomal RNA, 447 nt
Filed under: uncultured bacterium
Lineage: Bacteria
Description: bacterial SSU rRNA
Rfam family: Bacterial small subunit ribosomal RNA
Source: RNAcentral